This 2099-nucleotide ribosomal RNA is filed under the name Diplous californicus. Its description in RNAcentral is "SSU rRNA". It matches the Rfam family "Eukaryotic small subunit ribosomal RNA". The record is from RNAcentral. Lineage: Eukaryota; Metazoa; Arthropoda; Insecta; Coleoptera; Carabidae.
CACAUGCUUGUCUCAAAGAUAAGCCAUGCAUCUCUCAGUACAAGCCAAAUUAAGGUGAAACCGCGAAAGGCUCAUUAAAUCAGUUAUGGUUCCUUAGAUCGUACCCACAUUUACUUGGAUAACUGUGGUAAUUCUAGAGCUAAUACAUGCAAACAGAGCUCUGACCGGAGACGGGAGGAGUGCUUUUAUUAGAUCAAAACCAAUCGGCGGCAGUACUGCUUCGGCUUUGCUGUUCGUCGCACUUUUUGGUGACUCUGAAUAACUUUUGGCUGAUCGCACGGUCUUGCACCGGCGACGCAUCUUUCAAAUGUCUGCCUUAUCAACUGUCGAUGGUAGGUUCUGCGCCUACCAUGGUUGUAACGGGUAACGGGGAAUCAGGGUUCGAUUCCGGAGAGGGAGCCUGAGAAACGGCUACCACAUCCAAGGAAGGCAGCAGGCGCGCAAAUUACCCACUCCCGGCACGGGGAGGUAGUGACGAAAAAUAACGAUACGGGACUCAUCCGAGGCCCCGUAAUCGGAAUGAGUACACUUUAAAUCCUUUAACAAGGACCCAUUGGAGGGCAAGUCUGGUGCCAGCAGCCGCGGUAAUUCCAGCUCCAAUAGCGUAUAUUAAAGUUGUUGCGGUUAAAAAGCUCGUAGUUGAAUCUGUGUCCCGCGCUGUCGGUUCACCGCCCGCGGUGUUAACUGGCACGUCUCGCGGGACGUCCUGCCGGUGGACGUGUAUUCUGCGUGUUCCUUCCAUCAUUUCAUUCGUAUUGCAUUAGCGUACUGUUUUGUCAUGUGUCACACUAAUGUGGAUUCGUUCUGUGUUACGUGUGUCGCGUGUUUCAUACAAUAUGCGUGUUAUACGCGUGGUGGGUGUGUGGGGUUCCGUAGUGGUACCGUCCGACUAACGAAUCCUGUCGCGGUGCUCUUAAUUGAGUGUCGAGGCGGGCCGGCACGUUUACUUUGAACAAAUUAGAGUGCUCAAAGCAGGCUAAAAUUUCGCCUGAAUACUGUGUGCAUGGAAUAAUGGAACAGGACCUCGGUUCUAUUUUGUUGGUUUUCGGAACCCCGAGGUAAUGAUUAAUAGGGACAGAUGGGGGCAUUCGUAUUGCGACGUUAGAGGUGAAAUUCUUGGAUCGUCGCAAGACGGACAGAAGCGAAAGCAUUUGCCAAAAAUGUUUUCAUUAAUCAAGAACGAAAGUCAGAGGUUCGAAGGCGAUCAGAUACCGCCCUAGUUCUGACCAUAAACGAUGCCAGCUAGCGAUCCGCCGACGUUCCUCCGAUGACUCGGCGGGCAGCUUCCGGGAAACCAAAGCUUUUGGGUUCCGGGGGAAGUAUGGUUGCAAAGCUGAAACUUAAAGGAAUUGACGGAAGGGCACCACCAGGAGUGGAGCCUGCGGCUUAAUUUGACUCAACACGGGAAACUUUACCAGGCCCGGACACCGGAAGGAUUGACAGAUUGAUAGCUCUUUCUUGAUUCGGUGGGUGGUGGUGCAUGGCCGUUCUUAGUUGGUGAAGUGGUUUGUCUGGUUAAUUCCGAUAACGAACGAGACUCUAGCCUGCUAAAUAGGCGUUACUUACCGGUAUCCUGAAGGCUUGUGUCUCUCGUAACCUGGCAUGUGCGUGUAAGUAUGCGCGUAUAUAGCGUUCACUCCGGUGUUCCUGUAUGCGUAGCGCUGCGUAUGUGUUCUCAGUUCGAGUGUUCACAGUUUUUACUACCGGCGUACAUAUAAAUCUUCUUAGAGGGACAGGCGGCUUCUAGCCGCACGAGAUUGAGCAAUAACAGGUCUGUAAUGCCCUUAGAUGUUCUGGGCCGCACGCGCGCUACACUGAAGGAAUCAGCGUGUUUUCCCUGGCCGAACGGCCCGGGUAACCCGCUGAACCUCCUUCGUGCUAGGGAUUGGGGCUUGCAAUUUUUCCCCAUGAACGAGGAAUUCCCAGUAAGCGCAAGUCAUAAGCUUGCGUUGAUUACGUCCCUGCCCUUUGUGCACACCGCCCGUCGCUACUACCGAUUGAAUGAUUUAGUGAGGUCUUCAGACUGGUUCGCGGCGGCGUUUCGACUCCGCCGAAGAAGCUGGGAAGAUGACCAAACUUGAUAUUUUUGCCGAAGUUAA